RNAcentral lists this transfer RNA (75 nucleotides) under Clostridiales bacterium. RNAcentral describes it as "tRNA-Thr". It matches the Rfam family "tRNA". Rfam says of the family: Transfer RNA (tRNA) molecules are approximately 80 nucleotides in length. Their secondary structure includes four short double-helical elements and three loops (D, anti-codon, and T loops). Lineage: Bacteria; Bacillati; Bacillota; Clostridia; Eubacteriales. The record is from RNAcentral. RNAcentral also lists the same sequence under 1 other name.
GCUGAUGUAGCUUAAUGGCAGAGCAUCUCAUUCGUAACGAGAAGGUUGGGGGUUCGACUCCCCCCAUCAGCUCCA